This 500-nucleotide ribosomal RNA is filed under the name uncultured Glomeromycotina. Its description in RNAcentral is "partial small subunit ribosomal RNA". It matches the Rfam family "Eukaryotic small subunit ribosomal RNA", at positions 591 to 1092 of the family's 1831-position model. Lineage: Eukaryota; Fungi; Glomeromycota. The record is from RNAcentral.
CCAAUAGCGUAUAUUAAAGUUGUUGCAGUUAAAAAGCUCGUAGUUGAAUUUCGGGAUCGACGGGUCGGUCGCGCCUCUGGUGUGUACUGGCCCUGUCGGUUUCUCCCUUCUGAAGAACCGCGAUGUCAUUAAUUUGGUGUCGUGGGAAAUCAGGACUGUUACUUUGACAAAAUUAGAGUGUUUAAAGCAGGCAUUCGCUUGAAUACAUUAGCAUGGAAUAAUGAAAUAGGACGUUUGAUCUUAUUUUGUUGGUUUCUAAGAUCGACGUAAUGAUUAAUAGGGAUAGUUGGGGGCAUUAGUAUUCAAUUGUCAGAGGUGAAAUUCUUGGAUUAAUUGAAGACUAACUACUGCGAAAGCAUUUGCCAAGGAUGUUUUCAUUAAUCAGGAACGAAAGUUAGGGGAUCGAAGACGAUCAGAUACCGUCGUAGUCUUAACCAUAAACUAUGCCGACUAGGGAUCGGAUGAUGUUAAUUUUUUAAUGACUCAUUCGGCGCCUUACG